RNAcentral lists this ribosomal RNA (434 nucleotides) under uncultured bacterium. RNAcentral's name for it is "partial 16S ribosomal RNA". It matches the Rfam family "Bacterial small subunit ribosomal RNA", at positions 29 to 507 of the family's 1533-position model. The record is from RNAcentral.
AGCGAACGCUGGCGGCAGGCCUAACACAUGCAAGUCGAACGAACCUUUCGGGGUUAGUGGCGGACGGGUGAGUAACACGUGGGAACGUGCCCUUAGGUUCGGAAUAACUCAGGGAAACUUGUGCUAAUACCGAAUGUGCCCUUCGGGGGAAAGAUUUAUUGCCUUUAGAGCGGCCCGCGUCUGAUUAGCUAGUUGGUUGAGGUAAUGGCUCACCAAGGCGACGAUCAGUAGCUGGUCUGAGAGGAUGAUCAGCCACAUUGGGACUGAGACACGGCCCAAACUCCUACGGGAGGCAGCAGUGGGGAAUCUUGCGCAAUGGGCGAAAGCCUGACGCAGCCAUGCCGGGUGAAUGAUGAAGGUCUUAGGAUUGUAAAAUUCUUUCACCGGGGACGAUAAUGACGGUACCCGGAGAAGAAGCCCCGGCUAACUUCGUG